GAUGAACGCUGGCGGCGUGCCUAAUACAUGCAAGUCGAGCGAACAGACGAGGAGCUUGCUACUCUGACGUUAGCGGCGGACGGGUGAGUAACACGUGGAUAACCUACCUAUAAGACUGGGAUAACUUCGGGAAACCGGAGCUAAUACCGGAUAACAUGUUGAACCGCAUGGUUCAACAGUGAAAGACGGUUUUGCUGUCACUUAUAGAUGGAUCCGCGCCGCAUUAGCUAGUUGGUAAGGUAACGGCUUACCAAGGCAACGAUGCGUAGCCGACCUGAGAGGGUGAUCGGCCACACUGGAACUGAGACACGGUCCAGACUCCUACGGGAGGCAGCAGUAGGGAAUCUUCCGCAAUGGGCGAAAGCCUGACGGAGCAACGCCGCGUGAGUGAAGAAGGUCUUCGGAUCGUAAAACUCUGUUAUUAGGGAAGAACAAAUGUGUAAGUAACUAUGCACGUCUUGACGGUACCUAAUCAGAAAGCCACGGCUAACUACGUG
RNAcentral lists this ribosomal RNA (497 nucleotides) under uncultured bacterium. RNAcentral describes it as "partial 16S ribosomal RNA". It matches the Rfam family "Bacterial small subunit ribosomal RNA", at positions 28 to 507 of the family's 1533-position model. The record is from RNAcentral.